AGAGAGUCAUACAAGUUUCGACGACUUGAGAAGAUGUCUACAAAGAGUUCGGAAGCUUAAUAUUGACGAUCCUAUGCACACGUCUGUUGUACAAUACUUGUAUAUUUAAUUAAAAUGUUCAUAAACUCUUCAAAAGACCCUGAGUGAUGCUGAAACCCUCUGGACUAUACAAGUGUGGUUUAAAAAGAUGUUUUGGGGAAUCUUCAUCCAGUGUUAAAUCUCACGGAGCAACACAGACACGGUUCUGUAGAUUUCAUCUAAAAAUGUAUCGCUCAUUAAUUAAACACAUCAGACGUAUUUGCAUGGCUCCUGCAGAUAUGGAAAUGUCUGAAAUGAGUUUUUAAUAGAGGCCUCUCGUACGCACAUCCUCUGUGA
This is a long non-coding RNA of Labeo rohita (rohu), 375 nucleotides long. RefSeq lists it as uncharacterized. The transcript has 3 exons. Lineage: Eukaryota; Metazoa; Chordata; Actinopteri; Cypriniformes; Cyprinidae. The record is from RefSeq and is a predicted model, not a curated record.